AUUGAACGCUGGCGGCAGGCCUAACACAUGCAAGUCGAACGAGUGGCGGACGGGUGAGUAAUGUCUGGGAACCUGCCUGAUGGAGGGGGAUAACUACUGGAAACGGUAGCUAAUACCGCAUAACACCGGAAGGGCCCAGAUGGGAUUAGCGAGAAGGUGGGGUAAAGGCUCAACUAGGCGACGAUCCCUAGCUGGUCUGAAAGGAUGACGAGGCACACUGAAACUGAGACACAGUCCAGAAUCCUACGGGAGGCAGCAGUGGGAAAUAUUGCACAAUGGGCGCAAGCCUGAUGCAGCAAUGUCGCGUGUAUGAAGAUGGCCAUCGGGUUGUAAAGUACUUGCAGCGGGGAGGCGUUGCCCGCAGAAGAAGCACAGGCUAACUCCGUGCCAGCCGCCGAGGUAAUAC
RNAcentral lists this ribosomal RNA (406 nucleotides) under uncultured bacterium. RNAcentral describes it as "partial 16S ribosomal RNA". It matches the Rfam family "Bacterial small subunit ribosomal RNA", at positions 29 to 526 of the family's 1533-position model. The record is from RNAcentral.